GAUUUUAUUCCAGCCCACUCAUGCAACAUUACACAAGGCUUUGGCACAUCAAACCGAGGACACUACCAGCAAGCAAGUUCACUCUUAUGGAUGUAAACAUGUCUAUUCUACCAUUGGAUUAAGACGGAGAUUUUUUAAGAGAGUUGGCAUCAUGUGGUAAUUUGACGCAUCUCCCUCAGUAAGAUUGAAUAUUUGUCAACAGUCACUAAUAGAGUCCAAUCACUGCUGAUCAUCGCCGUUGUCUGGACUUAUGGGUUCCAGAUCUUGAACUUUCCACAUCAUUGGUGGUGUCUGGGUUAUAUCGAUGUUGUGACCUCUCUACUACUCUGGUAAAUGGGAUGUUGAUGUCUUACAGAGUACAAGUGUGCCAACAUCACACAAGUAUCCGGCCUGAUUUCAACAACCAGAUCAUCAUCUUGUAUAUGUGUGUGGCAUCAUUCCAAAUACUUUCAUUCUCACCAGCUGUUGUGAUAAUAUUAUUCAUUGGAGACAUAUUUCUCCCCUUUUAAUGUAUAACUUGUAGGCUUCCUGUGCCUCAUGAUGAUCUCUACAUUUUCUGAUGCAGUCUGUGACUGGCCUGUCUUUGUGCAUUAUCUACCACUUUGACAACUGUUAGAUCUGGCCUUUUUGUCUGGUCAAUUUUGCACAAUAUUUUUUGUUCAU
Molecule: long non-coding RNA, 663 nt
Organism: Amblyraja radiata (thorny skate)
Lineage: Eukaryota; Metazoa; Chordata; Chondrichthyes; Rajiformes; Rajidae
Exons: 5
Source: RefSeq, a predicted model, not a curated record